This 498-nucleotide ribosomal RNA is filed under the name uncultured bacterium. RNAcentral describes it as "partial 16S ribosomal RNA". It matches the Rfam family "Bacterial small subunit ribosomal RNA", at positions 30 to 523 of the family's 1533-position model. The record is from RNAcentral.
AUUGAACGCUGGCGGCAUGCCUUACACAUGCAAGUCGAACGGUAGCAGGUCUUCGGAUGCUGACGAGUGGCGAACGGGUGAGUAAUACAUCGGAACGUGCCUAGUAGUGGGGGAUAACUACUCGAAAGAGUGGCUAAUACCGCAUGAGAUCUACGGAUGAAAGCAGGGGAUCGCAAGACCUUGUGCUACUAGAGCGGCCGAUGGCAGAUUAGGUAGUUGGUGGGAUAAAAGCUUACCAAGCCGACGAUCUGUAGCUGGUCUGAGAGGACGAUCAGCCACCCUGGGACUUAGACACGGCCCAGACUCCGACGGGAGGCAGCAGUGGGGAAUUUUGGACAAUGGGCGCAAGCCUGAUCCAGCAAUGCCGCGUGCAGGAUGAAGGCCUUCGGGUUGUAAACUGCUUUUGUACGGAACGAAAAGCCCCGGGUUAAUACCCUGGGGUCAUGACGGUACCGUAAGAAUAAGCACCGGCUAACUACGUGCCAGCCGCCGCGGUAA